GAGGGUGUGGCUAAGUGCUAAAGCAGCUUGCUGGCAUGUAAGUAGGUCCUGGGUUUGAUUCUCAGCACCAUAA
This 73-nucleotide transfer RNA is filed under the name Fukomys damarensis (Damara mole-rat). It matches the Rfam family "tRNA". From Rfam's summary of the family: Transfer RNA (tRNA) molecules are approximately 80 nucleotides in length. The record is from Rfam by way of RNAcentral. Lineage: Eukaryota; Metazoa; Chordata; Mammalia; Rodentia; Bathyergidae.